GUAAAGCGCGGGCCCCGAAGGCUCCCUUCGCGCGCCUGCGCAGGGCCCUUUCGCCAUAGAGCGCGCGGAGGACAAGGUGUGUCCCAGCUCCCAGGACAGUGCCUGGCACUUAUUUGUGUUCAGUAAAUCUUUGUUUCGUGUCUGAAGGACAGAAUGAACCAAACAAAAGACCGUAACUGUGGCUGGAACAGAGGAUGUGCAGCAGUCAGACCCCGCAGAGACUGGAGGACAAGGUCACGUGCUCUGGGAGAAGCCCUACGUAGAGGCUCAUAUGGCAAGAAACAGACCUCCCGCCAGCAAACCAGCGAGUCAUCUUGGAAGUGCACCCUCUAGUCCCCUUCAAGCCUUCAAGUCACCGCAGCCCUGGGUAAUGACAUCUGGACUGCAAUCUCGCAAGAGACCCAGAGCAAAAGCCACGCUGCUAAUUGACUCCCAGGCCCCUGAUCCCCAGAAAUUAUGUGAGCUAAUACAUGCUUGUUAUUUUCAGUUUUAGGGGAGUGUGUUACCCAGAAACAAACAGCAAGUAAAAUUUUGAUUUUGAUCCCAAGAGUGGGGCGCUGCCCUAACAAAAAGCCUAAAAUGCAGAGUGGCUUUGGUACUGGGUAGUGGGGCAAGGGCAGGGCCCGGAAGGGCUUUGAAGAGCCUGUCAGAGCCUAGAUUGCCUUGAACAAACUUAAUGGAAACAUGAAGCACAAGGAGCUGGCCAGGGAGGGCUCAAAGGGAGGUGAGGAACACGUGACCAGAAGCCGGAGGAAAGGGGAUUUUUGUUGUGAAGUGACUAAAGUUUAGCACCAGUGUUGUGUGCAGUUCUGUGGAACUCAGAACACAUAACUAGUGAGCCAGGCAAUCCACCUCUGAAAUUGCCAGCCAGAAUGCUGAACAGCUGCCUGAUUUCUUCUUGCCACUCAGAGUAAAGGCAAGAGGAGAAAUCUUUUCUUUUUAAAGAAUUUAUUUAUUCAUGAGACACAGAGAGAGGCAGAGACAUAAGCAGAGGGAGAAGCAGGCUCCUUGGGGGGAGCCCAAUGUGGGACUCGAUCCCAGGACCCAGGAUCAUAACCUGAACUGAAGGCAGGCGCUCAACCACUGAGCCACCCAGGUGCCCUAAGAAGAGAAAUGCUAAACAGAAGGAGCUGGAACUUGAAGGUCUGGAAGCUUCUCAACCUCCCUGUGAAGCAUCAACUUUACCCAAAAUGAGGUGUGGUCUUUGCCCCAGCUCGUUGGGAUUUCCUGAGUGGCCAGAUAUGUCUUUGCUCCUCAGGGUGAGCCCCUGGGGCCAUAUCUGAUACUGUGCCAACAAGAUGACUCAAGCUGGGGGCUGAUCAUGCCCGAAUGGCCAACCGUGUGAUAAGAGGGUUGGGGCCACGUGAGAUCAGACUGACCUCCAGGGGAAGCAUGUGUAUCAGGGAGGUAAGAUGAAGAUUAAGGUUAACUACACGGUGAAUAAUCCAGUCAUGCCUACAUAAUGACACUUCAGUGAACACUGGACACCUGGGGCACCUGGCUGGCUCAAUUGGUUGUAUCCAACUCUUAGUUUCAGCUCAGGUCAUGAUCUCACGGUCCUGGGAUCGAAUUCCAUGUCAGACUCCGUGUUCAGCAGGAGUCUGUUUGGAUAUUCUCUACCUCUGCCCCCUCCCCCUAUUUAUGCAUGUGCGCUCUCUCUCUCUCUCUCUCUCUCUCAAAUAAAUAAUAAAUUAAUCAUUAAAAAAAACAAAAUUCUGGACAUCACAGCUUGAGUGAGCUUCCUGGUGUGGUGAUACACCAUGUAUGCUCCCAGGAGCGUGAUAUGUCUCUGGGGUCAUGAAAGCUUUGCAUGUGGGACCCUCCUGGUCCCAGAUUCCAUCCUAUGCACCUCUUCCUUUGGCUAUAAUAUUCUUUUGCUAUAAUAAAACUAUUAUCAUAAGUCCAGUGCUGUCCUAAGUUCUAGAGCUACUUUUUUUUUUAAGAUUUUAUUUAUUCAUGAGAGAGAAAGAGGGGGCAGAGACAUAGGCAGAGGCAGAAGCAGGCUCACCGUGGGGAGCCCAAUGUGGGACUCGAUCCCAGGACCCCGGGAUCACACCCUGAGCCAAAGGCAGAUGCUCAGCCACUGAGCCACCCAGGGGUGUCUCUCUAGAGCUACUUCUAGCAAUUAUUGAAACUGAGGGACUCAGUGGGAAUCUCUGAAUUUGUAGGCAGCUAAUCUGAAGUGAGGAUGGCCCUGGGGCCUCCCAAGCUUGUAGCUGAUGUCAGGACUCUUGGAUAGACUUGGCAGACCAGAGGACUGCAGCCUUCACCUUGUGUUUGCCCAGAUGGCAAAGGAUGCUAAACCUGAGCCAAAAAGAGCACUCUUGGGAAGGCAUGGUCUAAAGAUGAAGCCCAAGGUGUGACUAUAAAAUUCUUGGUGAUGGCUUUGGAAAGAUCAAAGGUCAGACAACGGCACUCUAAAGUUUAAGGAUGUGUCUUCUCAAUCAGACAACAGGGCUUCCAUUAAACUUCCAGACACUGUCACUCAGCAUCUCAGUAAAAGCCCCAAGGUAGGGGCUUAUCUCAAAGAGAUCAUGGGCAUGACUUUGUGUAAUGGAGUGAACUCCAAAGAGAUUCACAUAAGACCCACACAUUUUUUUUUUUUU
Molecule: long non-coding RNA, 2606 nt
Organism: Canis lupus familiaris (dog)
Lineage: Eukaryota; Metazoa; Chordata; Mammalia; Carnivora; Canidae
Exons: 3
Source: RefSeq, a predicted model, not a curated record